CACCACUAGUGGUCCUUUUCUUUUCUUUUUCCCUUUCUCUUUCCCUUUCAAACGAUUCGCGUUCAUCACGCGCAAUCGCAUUUCCACGCUCAACCCAAAGAGCUCGAUCUAGGACUUCCUCAAAAGUCUUUAACUUCAAAGCAUUGAUUACUUUGAAUAUAUCAGGUCGCAGCCCCCGCUCAAAGCACUCUGCUCGAUCUCGAUCAGUAUGAACCAUACCAGGCACACAGUUCACCAAAUGAGUAAAUUCCCGUUCGUACUGCCGUAUCGAACGGUUUUCCUAUCUCAACUUGCGGAAAUCUUCAUUCAUUUUCCUUUUAUCACUGUCGGGAAAGUACUCCAUAAAUAACAUCUCU
Molecule: long non-coding RNA, 356 nt
Filed under: Ananas comosus (pineapple)
Lineage: Eukaryota; Viridiplantae; Streptophyta; Magnoliopsida; Poales; Bromeliaceae
Description: long non-coding RNA (ACOM_LNC033345)
Source: RNAcentral